GGUUUUAUAUUCAUAUAUGAUAUUAGAUUGCAAAUCUAAAGGAGCGAAGGGUUUCGUUAAAGCCU
This 65-nucleotide transfer RNA is filed under the name Ellipes minuta. RNAcentral's name for it is "tRNA-Cys". Lineage: Eukaryota; Metazoa; Arthropoda; Insecta; Orthoptera; Tridactylidae. The record is from RNAcentral.